This 1079-nucleotide long non-coding RNA is filed under the name Eucalyptus grandis. RNAcentral describes it as "long non-coding RNA (EGRA_LNC004495)". The record is from RNAcentral. Lineage: Eukaryota; Viridiplantae; Streptophyta; Magnoliopsida; Myrtales; Myrtaceae.
CAUAUUCCACACCAUGAGUAAUGAGAUAAGAAACUAGAUACAACUAUGGCGUCGAAGAUUAAAAUUUACCUAAUAGAAUGAGACAUUGUAAAAUAAGUCACAUUAUCCUUCUCUUUCUGUAUAUGUGGAUUCUCAUCUUUUGUAGUUGACUUGAAACAAAGUUUCUUGAAUGAAAGCCUCCAAAUCACCCGAAGGUUGGACGAACCAUCAGCCACUUCGGCAACUAUGCAGCUUGCCAUUAUGCCUGUAAAAUAGCAACCACCAAAGGAGCAUACCCAAAGCAUGAGACACCAACAGUAGCAGAUUUUGUCAUCAUCAGAGACUAUCUUGAAGAAAAAGGAUGAUUCUUUACAAGCUUUUGCUUGGAAAACAAUAUUUCCAGGUAAGGAAACAUGAUCACAUAAGAUAGGAUAAGGUAGGAUUAGAAAUCCUUCCCAUAUCCUCCGGAUUAAAAAAAAAAAAAAAAAAAAGAAUCAUUUCUUAUGUUUGGUGCAAUCCAAGAUAGAAUUCAAAAUCUUUGAAAAUCUCACUUGCUCAUAGAGGUGAUACUUUCCAUAUCUAGGGCAAUAUUUUGUUGACGUAAUCUCAAACGGCCGAGGCCAGCAACAUUUUGAGUGGUCACCGUUUUCGCUGGAGCUCCUCCUUCUCCUUUGAAAUCUUUCAAUUGUCAGCACAAAGAGUCUCAGAUUUGAGUAGAGGACAGGAUUGGACGUCGAAGCAUCAUGGCAAAAUCGGGUGACCAUCGUUUAGGACCGACAUACAAACACCCAAAACUUAUGCAAUUCGAUUUUUUUCUUCUCCUUUUUCACAAACGACUUUUCGGUGUCGAUCCAUCGAUUUCAUCAUUCAUUGGCGAUGGCCGAUUCAGUUCAACGGUCAUCAGAGGAUAAUCGGCAAACCAAAUGGGCUAGACAGCAAUGAUGAUCAGCAUUGAUUGAAGACAAUGACAAUCGCACGGUGGUUGGGAGUGAUAGGCUAUUGUGGCAGUGAUCCUGCACAGUGGUCUUGCACGGUGGUGGGGAGUGAUAGGCUGUUAUGGCAGUGUUCCUUGCACAGUGGCUGGCGAAACCAGACUCCAC